AUGGGAUCUAUGAUGGUUUUCAGAGAUUGCAUUAUCUAUCUGUAGUUUCUUCAAAGGAGUUGAAGAUAAUCGUAAUUGACUGAGAUCUUGC
Molecule: non-coding RNA, 91 nt
Organism: Glycine max (soybean)
Lineage: Eukaryota; Viridiplantae; Streptophyta; Magnoliopsida; Fabales; Fabaceae
Source: Rfam